This 264-nucleotide unclassified non-coding RNA is filed under the name uncultured fungus. RNAcentral's name for it is "sequence contains ITS2". The stretch from base 1 to 52 matches the Rfam family "5.8S ribosomal RNA", at positions 103 to 154 of the family's 154-position model. The record is from RNAcentral. RNAcentral also lists the same sequence under 1 other name. Lineage: Eukaryota; Fungi.
AACGCACAUUGCGCCCGCCAGUAUUCUGGCGGGCAUGCCUGUCCGAGCGUCAUUUCAACCCUCGAACCCCUCCGGGGGGUCGGCGUUGGGGAUCGGCCUUCCUUCACGGGGGCCGUCUCCGAAAUACAGUGGCGGUCUCGCCGCAGCCUCUCCUGCGCAGUAGUUUGCACACUCGCAUCGGGAGCGCGGCGCGUCCACAGCCGUUAAACACCCAACUUCUGAAAUGUUGACCUCGGAUCAGGUAGGAAUACCCGCUGAACUUAA